GGCUGAGUCACUGGCUUACUGGUGCUCUUUCAUGCCGUCCCUAGGAGGGGUGCGUCACUUGAGUGGGUUGAGUCACUGACGUGAUCUUCCUGUCUGGGUUGUGCCGUAGCGGAGAUCUUUGUGGGCUAUACUCGGCCUUGUCUCAGGAUGAGGACCUGAGCCCUAGGACCAUGCCUCAGGACUACCUGGCAUGAUGACUCCUUGCUGCCCCCAGUCCACCUGGCCGUGCUGCUGCUCCAUUUACAACUGUUCUGCCUGCGGCUAUGGAAUCCUGACCUGUUCACCGGGCGUGCUACCUGUCCCAGACCUGCUGUUUUCAACUCUCUAGAGACAGCAGGAGUGGUAGAGAUACUCUUAAUGAUCGGCUAUGAAAAGCCAACUGACAUUUACUCCUGAGGUGCUGACUUGCUGCACCCUCGACAACUACUGUGAUUAUUAUUUGACCAUGCUGGUCAUUUAUGAACAUUUGAACAUCUUGGCCAUGUUCUGUUAUAAUCUCCACCCGCCACAGCCAGAAGAGGACUGGCCACCCCUCAUAGCCUGGUUCCUCUCUAGGUUUCUUCCUAGGUUUUGGCCUUUCUAGGGAGAUUUUCCUAGCCACCGUGCUUCUACACCUGCUUUGCUUGCUGUUUGGAGUUUUAGGCUGGGUUUCUGUACAGCACUUUGAGAUAUCAGCUGAUGGACGAAGGAUAUAUAAAUACAUUUGAUUUGAUUUGAUUUGAUGUAUUGAUCACAUCUUCACUAAUGCUACAGAAAUGUGCUUGAAAAUAGUAUCCAGAUCCAUCAGAUGUGGUGAUCACAUUGCAAUAGCCAUAUCUAGGAAAACCAAAGUUCCAAAGGCUGGGCCUAAUAUAGUGUAUAAGAGGUCAUACAAUAAGUUUUGUAGUGAUUCCUAUGUUGUUGAUGUAAAGAAUAUCUGUUGGUUGUGGUGUGUAAUGAGGAGCAAACAGACACGGCACUUGACACAUUUAUAAAAUGGCUUAUUCCAUUUGCUAAUAAGCAUGCACCCAUUAAGAAAAUUACUGUAAUAACUGUUAAAUCUCCAUGGAUUGAUGAGAAAACUUUUGGAACAAAUAGUUUUGACCAGAUACAAUGCCAUUUUACAGUAAACAAAUUGACAACAAACUUUCAGCAUGCUUAUAGAAAAGGACAUUCAAAAAGCACAGCACUUACACAAAUGAUUGAUAAUAAAAUAUUGAGGGAGCUGUUUUGUUAGAUUUCAGUGCGGCCUUUGACAUUAUCGAUCAUAGUCUGCUGCUGGCAAAACUUGUUAUGUUAUGUUAUGGCUUUACACGGCCUGCUACAGUAUAUUGUGGAUAAAAAGUUACCUGUCUAACAGAAUACUGAGGGUGUUCUUUAAUGGAAGCCUCUCCAACAUAAUCCAGGUAGAAUUAAGAAUUCCUCAAGGCAGCUGUCUAGGCCCAUGACUUUUUUCAAUCUUUAUUAUUAUUA
This is a long non-coding RNA of Oncorhynchus tshawytscha (Chinook salmon), 1452 nucleotides long. The record is from Ensembl. Lineage: Eukaryota; Metazoa; Chordata; Actinopteri; Salmoniformes; Salmonidae.